RNAcentral lists this ribosomal RNA (687 nucleotides) under uncultured Inocybe. RNAcentral describes it as "eukaryotic LSU rRNA". The stretch from base 279 to 432 matches the Rfam family "5.8S ribosomal RNA". The record is from RNAcentral. Lineage: Eukaryota; Fungi; Basidiomycota; Agaricomycetes; Agaricales; Cortinariaceae.
CUUGGUCAUUUAGAGGAAGUAAAAGUCGUAACAAGGUUUCCGUAGGUGAACCUGCGGAAGGAUCAUUAUUGAAUAAACAUUUGAUAGGCUGUUGCUGGCCCUUCUACGGCAGUGUGCACGCUUGUCAUUUACUUGUUUAUUUUUCCACCUGUGCACCUUUUUGUAGACCUUAGAUUUUUGGGACUGCUGUCUCUCUCUAGGUUCUAUGUUCUUCACAUACUCCUAUGAAUGUAAUAGAAUGUUGAUCUGGGUCUUUGAUGCCCAUAAAAGUUAUAUACAACUUUCAGCAAUGGAUCUCUUGGCUCUCGCAUCGAUGAAGAACGCAGCGAAAUGCGAUAAGUAAUGUGAAUUGCAGAAUUCAGUGAAUCAUCGAAUCUUUGAACGCAUCUUGCGCUCCUUGGUAUUCUGAGGAGCAUGCCUGUUUGAGUGUCAUUAAAUUCUCAACUACGCUGACUUUGAUUGGUGUGGCUUGGAUUUGGGGGGGAAAUUGUUGUGGGCUUUUUUGUAGUCUGCUCCCCUGAAAUUAAUUAGCAGUAACCUUGGUGGAACUGUCUACAGGUGUGAUAAUUAUCUACACCCUAGACAUCUGCUUAAUGCUGCUUUUCUAAACCUUACCUGUAUUGACAAUCUUGACCUCAAAUCAGGUAGGACUACCCGCUGAACUUAAGCAUAUCAAUAAGCGGAGGA